Molecule: small nucleolar RNA, 132 nt
Organism: Mustela putorius furo (domestic ferret)
Lineage: Eukaryota; Metazoa; Chordata; Mammalia; Carnivora; Mustelidae
Source: Ensembl
GCUGAGGUCUACCUUGAUCAACUUUUUCUGCAGACCCACAUUUUUCUGCAGAUGCCUCAUUGAAUAACUAUGCUGUUUGCUUUAGUCACAGAACUAUUUGUUAGAUCUGUAGAAAAGUAGUAUAAGAGAGAG